UGAUUUUAGUUGCCAGCAUUUAGUUGGGCACUCUAAAGUGACUGCCGGUGCAAGCCGGAGGAAGGUGGGGAUGACGUCAAAUCAUCAUGCCCCUUAUGACCUGGGCUACACACGUGCUACAAUGGAUAGUACAAAGGGUCGCGAAGCCGCGAGGUGGAGCUAAUCCCAUAAAACUAUUCUCAGUUCGGAUUGUAGGCUGCAACUCGCCUACAUGAAGCCGGAAUCGCUAGUAAUCGUGGAUCAGCAUGCCACGGUGAAUACGUUCCCGGGCCUUGUACACACCGCCCGUCACACCACGAGAGUUUGUAACACCCGAAGUCGGUAGGGUAACCUUUAUGGAGCCAGCCGCCGAAGGUGGGACAGAUAAUUGGGGUGAAGUCGUAACAAGGUAGCCGUAUCGGAAGGU
This 406-nucleotide ribosomal RNA is filed under the name Listeria monocytogenes. RNAcentral's name for it is "bacterial SSU rRNA". It matches the Rfam family "Bacterial small subunit ribosomal RNA", at positions 1106 to 1513 of the family's 1533-position model. Lineage: Bacteria; Bacillati; Bacillota; Bacilli; Caryophanales; Listeriaceae. The record is from RNAcentral.